Molecule: ribosomal RNA, 444 nt
Filed under: bacterium SV07
Lineage: Bacteria
Description: bacterial SSU rRNA
Rfam family: Bacterial small subunit ribosomal RNA
Source: RNAcentral
UGGCUCAGAGCGAACGCUGGCGGCAGGCCUAACACAUGCAAGUCGAACGGACCCUUCGGGGUUAGUGGCGGACGGGUGAGUAACACGUGGGAACGUGCCUUUAGGUUCGGAAUAGCUCCUGGAAACGGGUGGUAAUGCCGAAUGUGCCCUUCGGGGGAAAGAUUUAUCGCCUUUAGAGCGGCCCGCGUCUGAUUAGCUAGUUGGUGAGGUAAUGGCUCACCAAGGCGACGAUCAGUAGCUGGUCUGAGAGGAUGACCAGCCACAUUGGGACUGAGACACGGCCCAAACUCCUACGGGAGGCAGCAGUGGGGAAUCUUGCGCAAUGGGCGAAAGCCUGACGCAGCCAUGCCGCGUGUAAUGAUGAAGAGUCUUAGGCAUUGUAAAAUUCUUUCACCGGGGACGAUAAUGACGGUACCCGGUACAAGAAGCCCCGGCUAAUUCGUC